This 468-nucleotide ribosomal RNA is filed under the name uncultured bacterium. RNAcentral describes it as "partial 16S ribosomal RNA". It matches the Rfam family "Bacterial small subunit ribosomal RNA", at positions 28 to 507 of the family's 1533-position model. The record is from RNAcentral.
GACGAACGCUGGCGGCGUGCUUAACACAUGCAAGUCGAACGGAAAGGCCCUGCUUUUGUGGGGUGCUCGAGUGGCGAACGGGUGAGUAACACGUGAGUAACCUGCCCUUGACUUUGGGAUAACUUCAGGAAACUGGGGCUAAUACCGGAUAGGAGCUCCUGCUGCAUGGUGGGGGUUGGAAAGUUUCGGCGGUCGGGGAUGGACUCGCGGCUUAUCAGCUUGUUGGUGGGGUAGUGGCUUACCAAGGCUGUGACGGGUAGGCGGCCUGAGAGGGUGACCGGCGACAUUGGGACUAAGGUACGGCCCAGACUCCUACGGGAGGCAGCAGUGGGGAAUAUUGCACAAUGGGCGGAAGCCUGAUGCAGCAACGCCGCGUGCGGGAUGACGGCCUUCGGGUUGUAAACCGCUUUCGCCUGUGACGAAGCGUGAGUGACGGUAAUGGGUAAAGAAGCACCGGCUAACUACGUG